Molecule: ribosomal RNA, 789 nt
Filed under: uncultured bacterium
Lineage: Bacteria
Description: bacterial SSU rRNA
Rfam family: Bacterial small subunit ribosomal RNA
Source: RNAcentral
CAGUCGACGAGACUUUUUAUUUGAUGCUUGCAUCUUUUAAAAAGUUGAGUGGCGAACGGGUGAGUAACACGUGGGUAACCUGCCUUAAAGUGGGGGAUAACACUUGGAAACAGGUGCUAAUACCGCAUAACCAUCAAAACCGCCUGGUUUUGAUGUUAAAGAUGGUUCUGCUAUCGCUUUAAGAUGGACCCGCGGCGUAUUAGCUAGUUGGUGAGGUAAUGGCUUACCAAGGCAAUGAUACGUAGCCGAACUGAGAGGUUGAUCGGCCACAUUGGGACUGAGACACGGCCCAAACUCCUACGGGAGGCAGCAGUAGGGAAUCUUCCACAAUGGACGAAAGUCUGAUGGAGCAACGCCGCGUGAGUGAAGAAGGUUUUCGGAUCGUAAAACUCUGUUGUCAGAGAAGAACGUGUGUGAGAGUAACUGUUCACGCAGUGACGGUAUCUGACCAGAAAGUCACGGCUAACUACGUGCCAGCAGCCGCGGUAAUACGUAGGUGGCAAGCGUUGUCCGGAUUUAUUGGGCGUAAAGGGAACGCAGGCGGUCUUUUAAGUCUGAUGUGAAAGCCUUCGGCUUAACCGAAGUCGGGCAUUGGAAACUGGGAGACUUGAGUGCAGAAGAGGAGAGUGGAACUCCAUGUGUAGCGGUGAAAUGCGUAGAUAUAUGGAAGAACACCAGUGGCGAAAGCGGCUCUCUGGUCUGUAACUGACGCUGAGGUUCGAAAGCGUGGGUAGCAAACAGGAUUAGAUACCCUGGUAGUCCACGCCGUAAACGAUGAAUGCUAAGUGU